UGCGUUUGUUUGGACUUUUUGAAGCCCAAAACGCGCAUAAAUUAAAAAGUGGACAAGAAAAUGUGUUUGGCUGAGUCCAAAACGCAACUUUUUAAAAAAAGUUGCGUUUUGGGUUCAGGCAAAAUGCAAGUCCGAAACGCGCUGAAUUUAUGGACCUCUGAGGUCCAUAAAUCAAAACGCGCUGCUGGCGUUUUGGACAUUAUUACCGUUGGACGUUUCAUUUACGAAAAUGCCCCUAAUAUCUCACGCAAACUCACACAAACUUAUCAGUUCUCUCACACUCACCCAUCUCAUCUCUCUGCUCUUCACUCCGGACGCCCUCACCCCCACGCCUCCCAGCCUCGCUUGUAUUUCUGCGCUCUGCUCCGUGGUAGAGAUUUGCUACCAAAACACUGAGUAACACUGAUCUGCUACCAAAAACCACCAGAUGGGUAAAAACACCACUUCCAAUCCCGAGGCAAAAAAGGCUAGAGCAUUAUGGGAUAAUGAUUCAAGCUGAACAACUACUUUUUGUAACCUUUGUGUGGAACAGAUUCAAAUCGGGAAUAGAUCAAGAGGUGCUGCCUUUAGUACCAAAGGUUGGACCAAUCUAGUGACCAAAUUUUGUGAUGAGACCGGUCAAAACUAUGAUAGGGAUCAAUUUAAUCAUCUUCUAUCAUCUUUUUUACAUUUUUGUGUUGUACAAUUUAA
Quercus robur (English oak) is the source of this 690-nucleotide long non-coding RNA. RefSeq lists it as uncharacterized. The record is from RefSeq and is a predicted model, not a curated record. The transcript has 3 exons. NCBI's taxonomy places the organism in Eukaryota, Viridiplantae, Streptophyta, Magnoliopsida, Fagales, Fagaceae.